Non-coding RNA from Oryza sativa Japonica Group (Japanese rice), 645 nucleotides. Lineage: Eukaryota; Viridiplantae; Streptophyta; Magnoliopsida; Poales; Poaceae. The record is from RefSeq and is a predicted model, not a curated record.
CUUGCCAUCUACUACACAAAACACACGCAUCAUCGUAAGUGAGAUCGAGGGAGCUAAUUAAUCAACUAGCUAGCUUGCACAAAUUAAUGGCGUCCAACAAGGCUUUCGUUGUGUUCACUCUCCUGAUGCUGGUGGCUGCAUCUGCCGUCGUCGACGUCGCCUCUGCCGACGGCAAGUGCGGGCCUUGCAACUGUAAAGGCUGCUGCGACUAUGACGGCAAGUGCAUGAGCUACUGCAGCGGCCAUAGCGGCCCAUGCUGCAAGUGGAAAGGCAAGUGCCACGGCUGCUGCUCAUGAGCACGACGAGGCAAGAACCGAACGAAUAAUGGAUUAUGACAAAUAAAAACGCACACAUAAAACCUUACAGAUAUAUGUAUCUGCUAUACAUGCAUGAUGAUGUGCUUGUAUAGCUACUUAAUUAUCCCUAUAGCUGUUUGCUUGGUCAAUAAAGGAUUGCAUCUGCUGUGUGUAUACUGUGUACACACGGCUAGCUAGUAUGUAUGUAUGUAUAUGCUCUUAUACAAGGGCUAUACGUACGCAACAAUCCGUGCCUUUGGUGUCGUCAGUCGUAGUGUCGUGUCAGGUAUUGUAGUAUUGUAAUUUGUGCUGAUCUAUGAAUAAAAUGCGUUAUAAUAACGCUUCUAUA